GCGAGAGUGGUGGAAUGGUAGACACGCUAGAUUUAGGAUCUAGUGCCUUCGGGCGUGCGGGUUCGAGUCCCGCCUCUCGCA
RNAcentral lists this transfer RNA (81 nucleotides) under uncultured Rubrobacteraceae bacterium. RNAcentral's name for it is "tRNA-Leu-TAG". It matches the Rfam family "tRNA". From Rfam's summary of the family: Transfer RNA (tRNA) molecules are approximately 80 nucleotides in length. Their secondary structure includes four short double-helical elements and three loops (D, anti-codon, and T loops). The record is from RNAcentral. Lineage: Bacteria; Bacillati; Actinomycetota; Rubrobacteria; Rubrobacterales; Rubrobacteraceae. RNAcentral also lists the same sequence under 1 other name.